Molecule: long non-coding RNA, 1722 nt
Filed under: Anas platyrhynchos platyrhynchos (common mallard)
Lineage: Eukaryota; Metazoa; Chordata; Aves; Anseriformes; Anatidae
Description: lncRNA (ENSAPLG00000025190.1)
Source: RNAcentral
UUUGGCUUUAAUACACCCUAUUGGGCUUAGGUAUCACAAGAAACUCAAGGCAGUAGUUGCUCUGAAAUGUAUCAGGCCCAAUCCUGCAAUUCUUGCAGGGCAGAGCUCCCAUUGACUUCAGACAAGGACUGCAGGAUGCCCAUUCUUUCCCACCCAGCUAAACUGCUUAGAUGCUAUUCCAAAUAUGCAGAACAUCCCCAGAAUGAGAACUUUGACAGAGUUUUCUGGAUUGGUCUCUUUGCCAGAGGAGGAGGAAGCUUGGGGCUGGGUGAACCAACAGAUCCAUCCCAGACUUGGCGUGGUCAAUGGUGGCCCUUGUCUGCCUACUAGUCUAUCUGAUUGGGCUUUCUAUAAAGCUCAUCCUUAAGUGAAAGGCUCAUGACAUUUCAACACUGAAAAGAAAAAUCUGUUGCAAAUCUCUAAGGACGAGCAUCCUUGUGGUCCCUGAGUGAUUACUGCUUGCAAGUAUACAGUAUUAUCAGUAGUUCAUGGUUUAUCAAUGCAGAUACAGUAUGAACAUUUUGUGGGCUAUGAUAUUUGAACACAUAUAAUUACUGCUACUAAAUCACUCUAACUCCAUUAAUUUCAGCAGAGCUAGAACAACUGAGAACAUGGAUGGCUUUGUGGGACUGGACUCAGCCAGCCUCAUGCAGUCAGUUUUCAUUCGUUGGCCCAGCAAGCUCCCUGGAAGGACAGCUGAAACUGUCUAAGUGCUCUAAAUCAUACAUUAAAUUUGGAAAGUGACCCUUUUGAAGAAUACAAGCAGAGUCUCACCUGCUAUGAAUUCUGUGGAAAUAUUAUGAUGUUUAAUACCGAACAAUUGAAUCACUGCAGAUAAGUUAAUUUAAAACAGCUGAAGUUCUACAAUCCAUUUAUUUUUGAAAUAUUUUGAAUUUUUCCUUUUCUGUUUUGGUGCUCCCUGCUUGCUCAGUUGCUCUUAAUUUGGUAUAUGAACAAUGGGAAAGGAGCAAAGUCAAAUAGCAAAACCUUGCCUCAGUACAAUUUCCAUGCUGAAUUUAGUUUGUCAUGGUUCAUGGCUGUUCCAGGGUCUGUUAUAGAUGAGACAAAUAUUCACAAAGAUGAACAAUUAUGAAUUUUAGAGCCCAUGGCAGCUUAUUCUUUUGAUAGUAGAAGCUGACCCUGUUUUGUUUUCCAUCUAAUACUCUUGUCAUUUACAAAAGCUUAAUCAUCCAAGCAGGAGUGACUCAGUUUUAUUUGUGCUUUUGCAUACACUUCUCUUUGUGCAAUGACUGACACUAGGUCAGACUGACGCUAAGGUCUGAGCGACACUCAAUUGGAGUUGUUUUUUAUUGGACCUGAUGACUCCUGAGCUUUUUUGCUUUUCUUGACAGCCUGGCUGUGCUGAUGGUUGCCAAUUCCUGGAUUUAAAAGCAGUCUGACCAGCCAGUAGGGAAAGUUAUUCUGAACUGUUUGAUGCAAACUAUUACACAACUGCUAUAUGGCUGUCAUUCAUGAACUGACUGAAUAGGAAAAACAUGUCUAUGAGAGAAUAUUAAUACCAAUUGAUGUGACAUCUGUAAUGGUCUAACAAGUAUUAAGUAUUAUAUUGCUGGACGAGAAACAUUUCACAAAAAGCUGCAGUGUAUCCAAUUUAAACUGAUGUAAUGGAAAGGACCUGUCAAGUGGUUUGUUCCAUAGGUUGAGAAUUUCCUCCUUCCUAAAAAAAAUAAAUAUAUAUAUAUAUAAUAAAAUAAAAUAAAU